GAGAUGGGAGGAUUGCUUGAGCCUAGGAGGUUGAGGCUGCAGUGAGCUAUGAUCGUGCCACUGCACUCCAGCCUGAGUGACAGAGCGAGAUCCUGUC
This 97-nucleotide microRNA precursor is filed under the name Aotus nancymaae (Ma's night monkey). Its description in RNAcentral is "miRNA (ENSANAG00000001597.1)". The record is from RNAcentral. Lineage: Eukaryota; Metazoa; Chordata; Mammalia; Primates; Aotidae.